Molecule: ribosomal RNA, 709 nt
Filed under: bacterium E-2-0-1C
Lineage: Bacteria
Description: bacterial SSU rRNA
Rfam family: Bacterial small subunit ribosomal RNA
Source: RNAcentral
GGGGAACCCUGAAUCCAGCCAUGCCGCGUGUGUGAAGAAGGCCUUUUGGUUGUAAAGCACUUUAAGCGAGGAGGAGGCGCUCUAGGUUAAUACCUUAGAAGCGUGGACGUUACUCGCAGAAUAAGCACCGGCUAACUCUGUGCCAGCAGCCGCGGUAAUACAGAGGGUGCGAGCGUUAAUCGGAUUUACUGGGCGUAAAGCGUACGUAGGCGGCUUUUUAAGUCGGAUGUGAAAUCCCCGAGCUUAACUUGGGAAUUGCAUUCGAUACUGGGAAGCUAGAGUAUGGGAGAGGAUGGUAGAAUUCCAGGUGUAGCGGUGAAAUGCGUAGAGAUCUGGAGGAAUACCGAUGGCGAAGGCAGCCAUCUGGCCUAAUACUGACGCUGAGGUACGAAAGCAUGGGGAGCAAACAGGAUUAGAUACCCUGGUAGUCCAUGCCGUAAACGAUGUCUACUAGCCGUUGGGGCCUUUGAGGCUUUAGUGGCGCAGCUAACGCGAUAAGUAGACCGCCUGGGGAGUACGGUCGCAAGACUAAAACUCAAAUGAAUUGACGGGGGCCCGCACAAGCGGUGGAGCAUGUGGUUUAAUUCGAUGCAACGCGAAGAACCUACCUGGUCUNGACAUAGUAGAAACUUUNCAGAGAUGGAUGGGUGCCUNCNGNAAUCUACAUACANGUGCUGCAUNGGCUGUCGUCAGCUCGUGUCGUGAGAUG